Myotis daubentonii (Daubenton's bat) is the source of this 3260-nucleotide long non-coding RNA. RefSeq lists it as uncharacterized. The record is from RefSeq and is a predicted model, not a curated record. NCBI's taxonomy places the organism in Eukaryota, Metazoa, Chordata, Mammalia, Chiroptera, Vespertilionidae.
CGGGGGCGAGCGCGCCGCGCGAGGGGGCGCCCUGACCCCGCCAGGGGUGCGGAGGGGGCGGGGGCGUAGUGGCCAUCUUGGACUCCGCUCGACCCCGGCUGGUGGCGCGCGACGCUGGUCCGGGCUCGGCGCUGGGGGUCGGGGUACCAGGAAACUUAUGGUGUCUCUCUGGUACUCAUCCACUGGGCGUUCCAUACAGAUCAGGGCAGGUGAUGAACUCAGCGGAGUUGGGCACAACAAGGAGGAUACCAUUUGGUGCCCAUUUAGUUGCUGUGCCUGUUAUGGCUUAGGAAUUACAAAAGCUGAUGAAAUACAGGAUGAAGGGAGUGCUGCUGUAAUCUGGUGUAGCGGAAGGAAUGGCCACCUAGUUUCGCUUUCCAACUACAAACACCAUGGGGAUCUUGUGGUUUAAGGGCCAGACCAAAUGAUUUUGAGGGCCUUAUAUGGCCCGCGGACUGGGUGUUCCCCACUGCUGCAAGGGAUAAAUAAAUCAGGUACCAGGUUAAACAAUCCUAUUAAGAAAUGGGCAAAGGACCUGAACAGACACUUCUCCAAAGAGGACAUACAGAUGGCCAAUAGACAUAUGAAAAAGUACUCAACAUCACUAAUCAUCAGAGAAAUGCAAAUGAAAACCACGAUGAGAUAUUGCCUCACAUCUGCCAGAAUGGCUAUCACCAAUAAAUCAACAAACAGGAAGUACUGGUAAGACUGUGGAGAAAAGGCAACUUUUAUGCACUGUUGGUGGAAUGCAGACUGGUGCAGUCCCUGUGGAAAACAGCAUGGAGUUAAUCUCAAAAAUUUAAAAAUGGAACUGCUUUUUGACCCAAUGAGCCUACUUCUGGGAAUAUAUACUAAGAAUUCUGAAAGAAUAUAUGCACCCCUAUGUUCUUUGCAGUGUUAUUUACAGUAGCCAAGAACUGGAAACAGCCCAAGUGCCCAUCAGUAGAAGAAUGGAUAAAAAUGCUGUGGUUCAUUUACACAAUGGAAUAUUACGCAGCAGGAAAAAAGAACAUCUUUCCUCUUGUGACAGCAUGGAUGGACCUGGAAAUUAUUAUGCUAAGUGAUAUUAGCCAGCCAGAGAAAGACAAAUACCAUAUAAUCUCACUUAUAUGUGGAAUCUAAUGAACAAAAUAUAUUGAUGAACAUUAUAGAAAUAGUCAUGGCUACAUGGAACAGACUCACAGCUGUCAGAGGGGACAGGGAAGACUGGAUGAAAGAACAUGAGGGGAUUAGCCAAAGAACAUACAUGCAUGACACAUAGACACAGACAACAGUGUGGUGAUGGCCAGGGGGAGGGGGUGGGGGGCUGGAUGGAGGUGAACGAUGGGAGGAAGAAAUGGGGACAUCUGUAAUUGUGUCAACAAUAAAAAUAAAGUUAAAAAAAUAAUUACAUAAACCAAGGAAGAUAUAGUAAUUUCAAUCAAAAGGAAACUUGCUACAGGGUUGAGGAAUGCUAUAUAAGGUAUAGGUCUCAAGGAUGUCUCAGUGGAUCUCAGGGUCUCUGAGGGUCUCCCUUUCUUUCCCAUGGUGCCACAAAAGCAGGACAGACAUCAAGACUGCAGUCAAGACAGGGACCCCAGAGAUGCUACUGUGCUUUGUUGAUGAAGUGGUUAGUGGAUUUAUUUAUAUUCCCCAGAGCCAGAAAAGUCAGCAGAUUUCUCUAAGUGAGUCAGUUUUAGUGUCUUCAGAUCUGGAGGUCUGCCGUGCCCAUUGGCUUAAAAUACCAUUGUCCAAAUGUGGAGAGGGGAGCAGAGGCAGCUGCAGGCUGGCCUCAGACAGCAGAGAAAGUGGCCACUUGCUACUGCGGAUGCAACUUUCGUUGGACUUACAAGUGGGUACAGAAAGUGAGAGGCAGUUAAGAUUGUUUAUGGAUAACAGGUUUAAGGAGUCAGGAUGUCCUUUUCCUUUAUUUUUUUCUGAGACUCAUUUACCCAACUAUAUUUUUAUUUUUUUCUGAGACUCCUUUACCCAAUAAUAUUUUUGGAAUGAGAUCUAUGCUUAUUGUAAUUACAUAGGCCAAUUUACUAGGGAAAAGGGUAGAAGGGUCAUCAUAAGCAUUCAAAAUGCCAAAUUGCUGUGUGUGUGUGUGUGUGUGUGUGUGUGUCUGUGUGUGUGACAGAUAUGUAUGUGCUAACAUUUUAUUUUAUUUCAAUAUACAUUUAUUUGAUAAUUAAUAUUAUCUGUAUGGCCUGCUUUACUUACUCAGGAUACAAAUGUGAUUACAUUGCUCUAAUUACCCCCAAAGGAUUAUGUAAGCAUUUAUAGCCAAUCUUAGCAGGAAGUUCAGUAUGUCCCUCUUGAGGCCUCCCAGCAACCCCUAUCUCUGCCUCAUCUGAGAACCUACAGGGUGGAAUUUGUCUGACUUCCAAAUGUUCAGGAAGAAGAUAACUGGAGAGCCGGAUCAGCACCUUCUGCCAGAGGCUACCAAGGGUGUUGCUGUCAAAGGCUGGCUCUGUGCAUUUCAGGUCCUUAUCCUGUGCCUCACACACACUGGCUUGGUGUUUCCAAGCUCAGAAGUUGUGCUCGGUUGGCUGGGUUGUGCUGGCAUUUUAAAUGGCCUUCCCAACUCCUAUGGCACUCACACUGUUUGCUGGGGGUCACACCUUUCUUUUCUAUUUCUUUCAAACAAAAACACAUGUUGUGAUCCGAGCUGGUUACCUUUAUUCUGUUUCUCUUCCCUUUUUCAUUUUAGCUCGCUCAUGUGAUGAAGAGGCUUUUUCUGUCUCCAUUUCCCUACAGAAGGGCAGUUGUCAAUGUUGAUAAAUGUGUAUGACCUUGUAUAGCCUUGUUCAGUGCCUUCCUCCAAAUAAGAUACCUUGUGUCAACCAAGUAAGAUCCAUCUUCAUUAGAAAAGUUGAAUUAGGGGGGAGUAGGGCAGAGAAAAGUCCUAUUGGCUCAGUCUGCCUUGCUGCCACUGGGGCAGGAUAGGCUGGACCACCCCUACUGAGCUGUGUGGCUUUCCAGGAGGAUCACCAAUAUUUCCCAGAUGGGGUUAUUUUGUCAUAAAUGGUCUGUUUGCUAAAAGAAAAAUACCAUUCUGUUUUCAUAACAGCCAUGUCUAGUUUUCUGAAGAUGAUUUACUUUUAUAAGAACCAUGGAUAUGUGGAAUCUAAUGAACAAAAUAAACUGACGAACAACAUAGAACCAGAGGCAUGGAUAUGUGGAUCAGGCUGGCAGAUGUCAGAGGGGAGGAAUGUGAGGAGGACCGGAUAAAAGAAGGUGAAGAGAUUAGCCAAAGAACAUAUAUGUAUGACACGUAG